Molecule: long non-coding RNA, 558 nt
Organism: Myotis daubentonii (Daubenton's bat)
Lineage: Eukaryota; Metazoa; Chordata; Mammalia; Chiroptera; Vespertilionidae
Exons: 3
Source: RefSeq, a predicted model, not a curated record
GCUUAGCAAUGUGCUGAGGCUCUUAAAAGAUUGGAUCUGAGUGAGAGGGAGACAGAGACAGAAGAGAAAGAGAACCUAGAGACAGAGAGAGGCAGACAGGAAGAAAAAAAAAAAAAAGACUUUCUUUUUCUUUCUAGAGGAAUUCUGCCCAGACUCUGCAGCAGUUGCUAGCAAGCAAGCUUUCUCCUGGAUGUCUCCUGGAAAAGUUGCAAAAUCGCUGUUCACCUGUAAGAACAUGCUCUUUAUCUUCCAGUCUCUUCUUGUCAUUUUGGAAAUUGCAGACAGCCGGGCUCAGGGAGAUGGAUGAAGAGGCAUUCUGCACUCAUGGAAGAACAGAGAAGGAACACGUCACUUUAUGUCAAGCUGAAAGUGGCUUCUUCUGAAGAUAAAGCUAGGUAAAGUCUAUUGUGAAGAGGAGAAUAACUUGAAUGCAGCUAUCAUAUCAAAAUGAAAACACACUUCUGCUCUCUUCACCCACUACACAUCCUGAAUCCUUUUCUUAAUGAUGAAGUCAAAUAGGAUAGCUGAUGAGAAUACAACCGAUGAUCAUUUUUUUCU